UACAGAGGUCUCAAGCGUUGUUCGGAUUCAUUGGGCGUAAAGGGUGCGUAGGUGGCGCCGUAAGUCGGGUGUGAAAUUUCGGAGCUUAACUCCGAAACUGCAUUCGAUACUGCGGUGCUUGAGGACUGGAGAGGAGACUGGAAUUCAUGGUGUAGCAGUGAAAUGCGUAGAGAUCAUGAGGAACACCGAUGGCGAAGGCAGGUCUCUGGGCCGCAACUGACGCUGAGGAGCGAAAGCAUGGGGAGCGAACAGG
RNAcentral lists this ribosomal RNA (253 nucleotides) under uncultured bacterium. RNAcentral describes it as "partial 16S ribosomal RNA". It matches the Rfam family "Bacterial small subunit ribosomal RNA", at positions 524 to 776 of the family's 1533-position model. The record is from RNAcentral.